RNAcentral lists this ribosomal RNA (254 nucleotides) under uncultured bacterium. Its description in RNAcentral is "partial 16S ribosomal RNA". It matches the Rfam family "Bacterial small subunit ribosomal RNA", at positions 524 to 776 of the family's 1533-position model. The record is from RNAcentral.
UACGUAGGGAGCGAGCGUUGUCCGGAUUCAUUGGGCGUAAAGAGCUCGUAGGCGGCUUGGUAAGUCGGAUGUGAAACCUCCAGGCUCAACCUGGAGUCGCCAUCCGAUACUGCCAUGGCUAGAGUCCGGUAGGGGCCCACGGAAUUCCUGGUGUAGCGGUGAAAUGCGCAGAUAUCAGAAAGAACACCCGUGGCUAAGGCGGCUCUCUAGUACGGUACUGACGCUGAGACGCGAAAGCGUGGGGAGCGAACAGG